RNAcentral lists this ribosomal RNA (440 nucleotides) under uncultured bacterium. RNAcentral's name for it is "partial 16S ribosomal RNA". It matches the Rfam family "Bacterial small subunit ribosomal RNA", at positions 338 to 795 of the family's 1533-position model. The record is from RNAcentral.
CCUACGGGCGGCAGCAGUAGGGAAUAUUGCUCAAUGGGGGAAACCCUGAAGCAGCAACGCCGCGUGGAGGAUGAAGGUUUUCGGAUUGUAAACUCCUUUUGUUAGAGAAGAUAAUGACGGUAUCUAACGAAUAAGCACCGGCUAACUCCGUGCCAGCAGCCGCGGUAAUACGGAGGGUGCAAGCGUUACUCGGAAUCACUGGGCGUAAAGAGCGCGUAGGCGGGAUAGCAAGUCAGAUGUGAAAUCCUAUGGCUUAACCAUAGAACUGCAUUUGAAACUGUUAUUCUAGAGUAUGGGAGAGGUAGGUGGAAUUCUUGGUGUAGGGGUAAAAUCCGUAGAGAUCAAGAGGAAUACUCAUUGCGAAGGCGACCUGCUGGAACAUUACUGACGCUGAUGCACGAAAGCGUGGGGAGCAAACAGGAUUAGAUACCCCGGUAGUC